This 484-nucleotide ribosomal RNA is filed under the name uncultured bacterium. Its description in RNAcentral is "partial 16S ribosomal RNA". It matches the Rfam family "Bacterial small subunit ribosomal RNA", at positions 30 to 507 of the family's 1533-position model. The record is from RNAcentral.
AUUGAACGCUGGCGGCAGGCCUAACACAUGCAAGUCGAGCGGAUGAAGGGAGCUUGCUCCUGGAUUCAGCGGCGGACGGGUGAGUAAUGCCUAGGAAUCUGCCUGGUAGUGGGGGAUAACGUCCGGAAACGGGCGCUAAUACCGCAUACGUCCUGAGGGAGAAAGUGGGGGAUCUUCGGACCUCACGCUAUCAGAUGAGCCUAGGUCGGAUUAGCUAGUUGGUGGGGUAAAGGCCUACCAAGGCGACGAUCCGUAACUGGUCUGAGAGGAUGAUCAGUCACAGUUGAACUGGGACGCGGACCAGAAUCCUAACGGAGGCCGGAGUAGGGGAUAUUUGACAAUUGGCGGAAGCCUUGUCCAACCAUUGCGCGUGUGUUAAGAAGGGUUUCCGAGUGUAAAACACUUUAAGUUGGGAGGAAGGGCAGUAAGUUAAUACCUUGCUGUUUUGACGUUACCAACAGAAUAAGCACCGGCUAACUUCGUG